Molecule: ribosomal RNA, 585 nt
Filed under: Salmonella enterica subsp. enterica
Lineage: Bacteria; Pseudomonadati; Pseudomonadota; Gammaproteobacteria; Enterobacterales; Enterobacteriaceae
Also listed under: 1 other name
Description: partial 23S ribosomal RNA
Rfam family: Bacterial large subunit ribosomal RNA
Source: RNAcentral
UGGUGGGUAGUUUGACUGGGGCGGUCUCCUCCUAAAGAGUAACGGAGGAGCACGAAGGUUGGCUAAUCCUGGUCGGACAUCAGGAGGUUAGUGCAAUGGCAUAAGCCAGCUUGACUGCGAGCGUGACGGCGCGAGCAGGUGCGAAAGCAGGUCAUAGUGAUCCGGUGGUUCUGAAUGGAAGGGCCAUCGCUCAACGGAUAAAAGGUACUCCGGGGAUAACAGGCUGAUACCGCCCAAGAGUUCAUAUCGACGGCGGUGUUUGGCACCUCGAUGUCGGCUCAUCACAUCCUGGGGCUGAAGUAGGUCCCAAGGGUAUGGCUGUUCGCCAUUUAAAGUGGUACGCGAGCUGGGUUUAGAACGUCGUGAGACAGUUCGGUCCCUAUCUGCCGUGGGCGCUGGAGAACUGAGGGGGGCUGCUCCUAGUACGAGAGGACCGGAGUGGACGCAUCACUGGUGUUCGGGUUGUCAUGCCAAUGGCACUGCCCGGUAGCUAAAUGCGGAAGAGAUAAGUGCUGAAAGCAUCUAAGCACGAAACUUGCCCCGAGAUGAGUUCUCCCUGAGACUUUAGGUCUCCUGAAGGAACGU